RNAcentral lists this ribosomal RNA (510 nucleotides) under uncultured bacterium. RNAcentral's name for it is "partial 16S ribosomal RNA". It matches the Rfam family "Bacterial small subunit ribosomal RNA", at positions 28 to 507 of the family's 1533-position model. The record is from RNAcentral.
GACGAACGCUGGCGGCGUGCUUAACACAUGCAAGUCGAACGAAGAGCGAUGGAAGCUUGCUUCUAUCAAUCUUAGUGGCGAACGGGUGAGUAACGCGUAAUCAACCUGCCCUUCAGAGGGGGACAACAGUUGGAAACGACUGCUAAUACCGCAUACGAUCUAACCUCGGCAUCGAGGAAAGAUGAAAGGUGGCCUCUAUGUAUAAGCUAUCACUGAAGGAGGGGAUUGCGUCUGAUUAGCUAGUUGGAGGGGUAACGGCCCACCAAGGCGAUGAUCAGUAGCCGGUCUGAGAGGAUGAACGGCCACAUUGGGACUGAGACACGGCCCAGACUCCUACGGGAGGCAGCAGUGGGGAAUCUUCCGCAAUGGACGAAAGUCUGACGGAGCAACGCCGCGGGAGUGAGGACGGCCGUCGGGUUGUAAAGCUCGGUUAAUCGGGACGAAAGGCCUUCUUGCGAAUAGGGAGAAGGAUUGACGGUACCGGAAUAGAAAGCCACGGCUAACUACGUG